Gorilla gorilla gorilla (western lowland gorilla) is the source of this 1232-nucleotide RNA transcript. RefSeq lists it as uncharacterized. The transcript is spliced from 4 exons. The record is from RefSeq and is a predicted model, not a curated record. NCBI's taxonomy places the organism in Eukaryota, Metazoa, Chordata, Mammalia, Primates, Hominidae.
ACCUCCCGGCAGCCUGGCCAGGCCCAGAACUCUCUCCAGUCAGCCUCUACAGACCAAGCUCAUGACUCACAAUGGCCUAUUUAGGCCCAUACCCUACCUCACGGCAGUCUCCGCAGAUGAGCCUACUGCCUCACAACAGCCUCCACAGGCACAGCUCCAUCGUUCCAAUGGCCUCUUUAGACCCAGCUCCUGCCUCCCAGCCUUCUCUCCAGGCCCUGAACUUUCUCCGGUCUCCCUCUGUUGUCCGAGGCUGGAGGGUAGUAGUGCUAUCGCAGCUGACUGCAGCCUCAACCUUCCAGGCUGAAGCGAUCCUCCCAUCUCAACCUCCCACGUGGCUGAGACUACAGGUGCUUGCCACUACGCCCAACUAAUAUUUGGUAUUUUCGUAUACGUGGAUUCCAGAGGGGUGACAGCGAAACGUGGGACCAUCCAGUUUCAGGAAAACAAGCUUAACACGCCCACUGAUUCUACAUUAUGCAGAUUCUUCAGGCCCAGCAUCUGCCUCACUGUGGACCCCCCAAGCCAAGCUCCCAACCUUUCAGCAGCUUCUACACACCCAGCUCCCACCUGCCAGUGGCCUCUUCAGGCCCAUGGGGCUCAUUCCUCACAACAGCCUUUCCAGUCCCAGUUUUUCCCUUCCGGCGGCCUCUCCGGGCUGAGAACCUCCUCAAGUCGGCCUCUCCAGACUCACUUGCACCCUCCAGGCGUCCUCUCCGGGCCAAGCUCCUCUUCCUGGCUGCGUCUCCAGGCCCGACUCCUGCCUCUCAACAACCUCUUUGGACUCAGUGCCUACCCAUCUCCUGGCGUCCUUGGUCGGCCCACAGCUUCCUCAAGCCAAGCUCCCCAGGCCCAGGUCAGGCCUCACGGUGCCCCCUCCACGAUGAGCUCCUGCCCUCCAAUGGCACCUGCAGGACCCAAAUGGUCUCCGGUCGGUGGGCUCCUCCACGCCAAGCUUGGGCCUCCCGGUGACCUCUGCAGGCCCAAGUUGUCCUGAAGUCGGCAUCUCCCAGCCAUGCCUCCCAGCAAGUAAGCAAGCUCUUUUGGCUCAACUCCUGCCCAGCUCCCAACCGCCUUUGUAGGUCCCGAACUUUCUCCAGCCAAGUUCUUUGGGCCUCAUUCCUGCCGCCCGGUGGCCUGUACGGGCCCAGCAAUGGUUGGAGAACGGCCUCUGCAGGUCCCGCUCUUGCCUCCCAGGGGCCUCUCCAGGCCCAGCUCUUGCCCCCACGGCGGCC